RNAcentral lists this ribosomal RNA (373 nucleotides) under uncultured bacterium. RNAcentral describes it as "bacterial SSU rRNA". It matches the Rfam family "Bacterial small subunit ribosomal RNA", at positions 28 to 406 of the family's 1533-position model. The record is from RNAcentral.
GACGAACGCUGGCGGCGUGCUUAACACAUGCAAGUCGAACGGGAGUAUUGAAGAAGCUUGCUUUAGAGAUACUUUAGUGGCGGACGGGUGAGUAACGCGUGAGGAGCUGUCCAAUGCAGGGGGACAACAGUUGGAAACGACUGCUAAUACCCCAUAAGCCGAGAGGUAAAAGGAUUUAUCCGGGCAAGAGGAGGUACUCGCGUCCUAUCAGCUAGUAGGUGAGGUAACGGCUCACCUAGGCGAAGACGGGUAGCCGGCCUGAGAGGGCGAACGGCCACACUGGAACUGAGAUACGGUCCAGACUCCUACGGGAGGCAGCAGUGGGGAAUAUUGGGCAAUGGGGGAACCCUGACCCCAGCGACGCCGCGUGGGU